Molecule: ribosomal RNA, 194 nt
Filed under: uncultured bacterium
Lineage: Bacteria
Description: partial 16S ribosomal RNA
Rfam family: Bacterial small subunit ribosomal RNA
Source: RNAcentral
ACUCCUACGGAAGGCAGCAGUAAGGAAUAUUGGUCAAUGGGGCGGAAGCCUGAACCAGCCAUCCCGCGUGCAGGAUGAAGGCCCUAUGGGUUGUAAACUGCUUUAGACUGAGAAGAAACCCCUCAAUGCGUUGGGGGCUGACGGUAUCAGUAGAAUAAGCACCGGCUAACUCCGUGCCAGCAGCCGCGGUAAUG